CCUACGGGGGGCAGCAGUAAGGAAUAUUGGUCAAUGGGCGCAAGCCUGAACCAGCCAUGCCGCGUGCAGGAAGACGGCCUACGGGUUGUAAACUGCUUUUAUACGGGAAUAUGUACUGUAAGAAUAAGGAUCGGCUAACUCCGUGCCAGCAGCCGCGGUAAUACGGAGGAUCCAAGCGUUAUCCGGAUUUAUUGGGUUUAAAGGGUGCGUAGGCGGCCUAUUAAGUCAGGGGUGAAAGACGGUAGCUUAACUAUCGCAGUGCCCUUGAUACUGAUGGGCUUGAAUACACUAGAGGUAGGCGGAAUGUGACAAGUAGCGGUGAAAUGCAUAGAUAUGUCACAGAACACCAAUUGCGAAGGCAGCUUACUAUGGUGUAUUGACGCUGAGGCACGAAAGCGUGGGGAUCAAACAGGAUUAGAUACCCGUGUAGUC
This 432-nucleotide ribosomal RNA is filed under the name uncultured bacterium. Its description in RNAcentral is "partial 16S ribosomal RNA". It matches the Rfam family "Bacterial small subunit ribosomal RNA", at positions 338 to 795 of the family's 1533-position model. The record is from RNAcentral.